RNAcentral lists this ribosomal RNA (589 nucleotides) under uncultured bacterium. RNAcentral describes it as "bacterial SSU rRNA". It matches the Rfam family "Bacterial small subunit ribosomal RNA", at positions 334 to 917 of the family's 1533-position model. The record is from RNAcentral.
UACUCCUACGGGAGGCAGCAGUGGGGAAUAUUGCGCAAUGGGGGCAACCCUGACGCAGCCAUGCCGCGUGAAUGAAGAAGGCCUUCGGGUUGUAAAGUUCUUUCGGUAGCGAGGAAGGCAUUUAGUUUAAUAGACUAGGUGAUUGACGUUAACUACAGAAGAAGCACCGGCUAACUCCGUGCCAGCAGCCGCGGUAAUACGGGGGGUGCAAGCGUUAAUCGGAAUAACUGGGCGUAAAGGGCACGCAGGCGGUGACUUAAGUGAGAUGUGAAAGCCCCGAGCUUAACUUGGGAAUUGCAUUUCAUACUGGGUCGCUAGAGUACUUUAGGGAGGGGUAGAAUUCCACGUGUAGCGGUGAAAUGCGUAGAGAUGUGGAGGAAUACCGAAGGCGAAGGCAGCCCCUUGGGAAUGUACUGACGCUCAUGUGCGAAAGCGUGGGGAGCAAACAGGAUUAGAUACCCUGGUAGUCCACGCUGUAAACGAUGUCGAUUUGGGGAUUGGGCUUUGAGCUUGGUGCCCGUAGCUAACGUGAUAAAUCGACCGCCUGGGGAGUACGGCCGCAAGGUUAAAACUCAAAUGAAUUGACGGA